GAUGAAGGAACGUAGCGAAAUGCGAUAAGUAAUGUGAAUUGCAGAAUUCAGUGAAUCAUCGAAUCUUUGAACGCACAUUGCGCCCGCCAGUAUUCUGGCGGGCAUGCCUGUUCGAGCGUCAUUACAACCCUCAGGCCCCCGGGCCUGGCGUUGGGGAUCGGCGGAGCCCCCCGUGGGCACACGCCGUCCCCCAAAUACAGUGGCGGUCCCGCCGCAGCUUCCAUCGCGUAGUAGCUAACACCUCGCGACUGGAGAGCGGCGCGGCCACGCCGUAAAACACCCAACUCUUCUGAAGUUAACCUCGAAUCAGGUAGGAAUACCCGCUGAACUUAAGCAUAUCAAUAAGCGGAGGA
This 353-nucleotide unclassified non-coding RNA is filed under the name soil metagenome. RNAcentral's name for it is "partial contains 5.8S ribosomal RNA, internal transcribed spacer 2, and large subunit ribosomal RNA". The stretch from base 1 to 121 matches the Rfam family "5.8S ribosomal RNA", at positions 35 to 154 of the family's 154-position model. The record is from RNAcentral.